Arachis ipaensis is the source of this 745-nucleotide non-coding RNA. The record is from RefSeq and is a predicted model, not a curated record. Lineage: Eukaryota; Viridiplantae; Streptophyta; Magnoliopsida; Fabales; Fabaceae.
UUUUAGUAUGCCUCUUCAGAUACUUAACAGAAUUUAGUGUAUAUAGUUUUAUGUUUAUUAUUUAAAAAUAAAUCCUUUUCUUUCUCUUAUAAUUUUUAAUAUAUACACUUCUCUUGAUGACAUAUGUAUUUUGGUAUAAUAAAAAGUUAAGUAUGCUUUAUGAUAAUUAUCUGCAAACAUGUAAACCGUACCUUAAAGAAUUUGAUGGGUCAAGUUCAAGGCAAAAUCCAAAAGUCACCAUUAAAUGAUUUCUACUCCUUAUAUUAGACAUGAUUCUCUCCCUCAAGAAUCACUCGGACUCAGUGUUUCUCAAUUUCAAUCUGUAGCUUGUGAUCUCCAACAUUUCAUAAUUCGUGCCAUCUUCCCUGGUUUUCUUUUUUCACACUUCUAGUGAUUUCAUUUUAUUUUUUCUUUGGAUCUGAUUGUUUGUUCCCGAUUUUGUUAACAUUUGUUGCUGCUAUUUAUUUAAUCAUUAUAAAAUAAUCUUUUUUUAUAUUGGAUAAAAUAUUGGAUUUUUUCUACAAUAUUGAUAAGGAUAUUUGAAGGAUUAAACAGCUGAAUGGCGAUGCAUACAGAUACAAGUGAUUUCAACAGUAGAUAUCCUCGAUCCCUUGCUAUGAGAAGACCAUGACAAAUUCAAAACUCACCACAAGUCGAUUGUACUUGUCCAUUAAGUUUGCUGCAUAUCUGAAACCAUCUGGGCAUGGUUCUAUGUGGAAGAUAACUGGUCCACCUUUCAGUGUAG